CGGAUUGCAGGCUGCAACUCGCCUGCAUGAAGCUAGAAUUGCUAGUAAUCGCGGAUCAGCAAGCCGCGGUGAAUACGUUCCCGGGCCUUGUACACACCGCCCGUCACACCAUGAGAGUCGGGAACACCCGAAGUCCGUAGUCUAACCGCAAGGGGGGCGCGGCCGAAGGCGGGUCCGGUAAUUGGGGUGAAGUCGUAACAAGGUACC
Molecule: ribosomal RNA, 207 nt
Filed under: uncultured bacterium
Lineage: Bacteria
Description: partial 16S ribosomal RNA
Rfam family: Bacterial small subunit ribosomal RNA
Source: RNAcentral